ACGUGGAGAGAACAGGAACACAUGUUUUCUGUACUACAUGGCUAAUGCAGGAUACAGGGCUGCAGUUGUUGGGUGAAGCUUUGCCCGAAAGUUGAGAAAUGGGUGCAGCGCAAGGAUGCAGAACAGGAGUCGCAGACCAAAGCAGAGAUCCAGGAUAUGAAGCAAGAGUUAUCCGCGGUCAAUAUGAUGGACAAGUUUGCCAGAUCUGCCAGGCUGGAAAGAAAGAUCAACAAGAUGAUGAAUAAGCUCAAAACUCAUGUGAAAGUACAGACAGCUCAAUCAGGAAUGCUAAAAUGGGUUAUAAGUGUUGCUUUCUACAAAUUGCCAGGUACCGUGAUCAGGCUAUAAGGCAGUCUUGUGGGGUUAUCCAUUACUUGACAGGGUCUCGCUCUGUUGCCCAGGCUGGAGUGCAGUGGGCCAUCUAGGCUCACUGUAGCCUCUGCCACCCGGGUUCAAGUGACCUUCCCACUUCAGCCUCACAAGUAGCUGGCACUAAAAGUGCUUGCCACCAUACCCGGAUAAUUUUCAUAUUUUUUGUAAAGACAGGGUCUCACCAUGUUGCCCAGACUGGUCGCGUUUUCUUCCUCUGUUUAAAAUGGCAUUUGUUGGACAAGCAUUUGUAUAGUACUAUGUACUUACUUGAAGCUGUUAAUUUUUCAUUACAAUGUUUUGUAAAUUUCUUCAUGAGGCCAUAAUGCAUUGUUUUGUGCUCAAAUUUUGCAUUGUAUUUAAAGCAUUCA
RNAcentral lists this long non-coding RNA (740 nucleotides) under Homo sapiens (human). Its description in RNAcentral is "non-protein coding lnc-ZGRF1-2:3". Lineage: Eukaryota; Metazoa; Chordata; Mammalia; Primates; Hominidae. The record is from RNAcentral.